RNAcentral lists this ribosomal RNA (253 nucleotides) under uncultured bacterium. RNAcentral's name for it is "partial 16S ribosomal RNA". It matches the Rfam family "Bacterial small subunit ribosomal RNA", at positions 524 to 776 of the family's 1533-position model. The record is from RNAcentral.
UACGUAGGUGGCAAGCGUUGUCCGGAUUUACUGGGCGUAAAGAGCGCGCAGGCGGUCGAUUUAGUCGUGUGUGAAAGCCCCCGGCUCAACUGGGGAGGGUCACGCGAUACUGAUCGACUCGAAGGCAGGAGAGGGUAGUGGAAUUCCCGGUGUAGUGGUGAAAUGCGUAGAUAUCGGGAGGAACACCAGUGGCGAAGGCGACUACCUGGCCUGUUCUUGACGCUGAGGUGCGAAAGCGUGGGGAGCAAACGGG